UGCAGUUUUCCGCAGGAAGCGAAAGGCUGAGUAACACGUAGGUAACCUGCCUUUAGGUGGGGCACACCCUCGGGAAACUGAGGUUAAUUCCCCAUAGAUUUAAGAUACUGGAAUGUUCUUAAGUCAAAAGUUUCGACGCCUAAAGAUGGGCCUGCGUUCUAUCAGGUUGUUGGUAGUGUAAAGGACUACCAAGCCUACGACGGAUAGGGGCAGUGAGAGCUGGAGCCCCCAGAUGGGAACUGAGACACGGUCCCAAGCCCUACGGGGUGCAGCAGGCGCGAAACCUCCGCAAUGCACGCAAGUGUGACGGGGGAACUCCAAGUGUUUCUGUUUUUAAAACAGUUUCUUUUCUGAAGUGUAAAUAGCUUCAGGAAUAAGAGCUGGGAAAGACAGGUGCCAGCCGCCGCGG
This 409-nucleotide ribosomal RNA is filed under the name uncultured archaeon. RNAcentral's name for it is "bacterial SSU rRNA". It matches the Rfam family "Archaeal small subunit ribosomal RNA", at positions 64 to 470 of the family's 1478-position model. The record is from RNAcentral.